GUAAGUUAAAGUUUACAAUUUUUAUUAAUUUAUUUAAUAAUAAAUAGGUGAAUUAACAUUAAUGUAUUGAUGUUUAAUGAAUUAUUAAUAAUUAAAUUAUUUUUGUUAUAGUUUAUAUGUACUGUUAAGGAAUAUUUAAAUAUUUGAAAAUUAAUUUUUGUUAUAGAAAAUUUUAACUGUUGUACCUUUUGUAUCAGGGGUUAUUAAAUAAUAAUAUACUAUUUAUAUUUUCCCGAAAUAAGGAGAGUUAAGAUAAACAUGUUAUUAUAAGUUUUAUAUUGUAAUUAGAAUGUUUUCUUAGAGGUGAAAUGUUAUUCGGUUCUUAUAAUAUCUGGUUACAUAAUAAUUAAAUUUAAUUUAGCAGUCAUUUAGGUAAGUUGUCUUAAAAUGGUUAGAUAUAUGGUUUAUUAUAUGACUAGUAAGGGUUAGGGGGAUUUGCUUUUAACUCUGUUGUUACCUAUAAUUGAUUAUUAUAAGUAUUAUUAUUGUUGGCUUAGAAAUAGCAAUCAUUUGUAAUUUUGUUAUAAUUUAUUUAAUUAUAUAUAAUAUUUGUUUAUUUUGUUUAGGUUAGUUGAUUAUGUUGUUGUUAAUAUUUUUUUUUGUUAGCAAAUAUGAUAAUAUUAGUAUAUUAUAGAGGUUAAUUAAAGGAAUUCGGCAAAGUUUUAUUUCCGCCUGUUUAUCAAAAACAUGUCCUUUUGUUUAUAUAUAAGGUCUAACCUGCCCAAUGAAUAUUUUGAAUGGCCGCGGUAUUCUGACCGUGCGAAGGUAGCAUAAUCAUUAGUCUUUUAAUUGUUGGCUUGUAUGAAUGGUUGGACGAGAAAUGAGCUGUCUCUAGUUAAUAUAGUUAAAUUUUACUUUUGAGUGAAAAGGCUUAAAUUUAUAGGAGGGACGAUAAGACCCUGUAGAUCUUUAUAUUAAAGGGGUAAUAUAAUUUUAGCUUAUAAUUAUUUUAUGUUAUGUUUUUAAUAUUUUGCUGGGGCGGUGAGAAAAUAUCAUAAACUUUUCUUGGUUUAUUUCACUUAUAAGUGUGAUUAUUAGUGAUCCAUUCUUUGUGAUUAUAAGAUUAAGUUACCUCAGGGAUAACAGCGUAAUCUCUUUUGAGAGUUCAUAUCGACAAAGGGGGUUGCGACCUCGAUGUUGGAUUAAGAUUUUACUUGGGCGUAGGGGCUUAAGGUAAAAGGUCUGUUCGACCUUUAAAUUCUUACAUGAUCUGAGUUCAGAUCGGCGUGAGCCAGAUCGGUUUCUAUCUUCCUAUUAUAUGAAUAUCUUAGUACGAAAGGACCAGGUAUAUGUAAUAUUUAUUUGUUAAGUGAAUAAUAAUAAAUUU
This 1327-nucleotide ribosomal RNA is filed under the name Ctenolepisma villosum. RNAcentral describes it as "Ctenolepisma villosa 16S ribosomal RNA". The stretch from base 858 to 1257 matches the Rfam family "Bacterial large subunit ribosomal RNA", at positions 2049 to 2651 of the family's 2925-position model. Lineage: Eukaryota; Metazoa; Arthropoda; Insecta; Zygentoma; Lepismatidae. The record is from RNAcentral.